CCUACGUGAGGCAGCAGUGGGGGAUAUUGCACAAUGGGGGAAACCCUGAUGCAGCGACGCCGCGUGUGGGAAGACGGUCCUCUGGAUUGUAAACCACUGUCCCCAGGGACGAAGAUGACGGUACCUGGGGAGGAAGCUCCGGCUAACUACGUGCCAGCAGCCGCGGGAAUACGUAGGGAGCGAGCGUUGUCCGGAUUUACUGGGUGGAAAGGGAGGGUAGGCGGGACUGCAAGUUGGGUGGCAAAUCCCUCGGCGCAACUGAGGAGCGGAAACUAAAAUUGGAUUUCUUGAGUGCGGAAGAGGCAGGCGGAAUUCCUAGUGUAGCGGUGAAAUGCGUAGAUAUUAGGAGGAACACCAGUGGCGAAGGCGGCUUGCUGGACAUUAACUGACGUUGAGGCACGAAAGUGUGGGGAGCAAACAGGAUUAGAUACCCGGGUAGUC
Molecule: ribosomal RNA, 441 nt
Filed under: uncultured bacterium
Lineage: Bacteria
Description: partial 16S ribosomal RNA
Rfam family: Bacterial small subunit ribosomal RNA
Source: RNAcentral